GACGAACGCUGGCGGCGUGCUUAACACAUGCAAGUCGAACGGAAAGGCCCCUCGGGGUACUCGAGUGGCGAACGGGUGAGUAACACGUGGGUGAUCUGCCCUGCACUUUGGGAUAAGCCUGGGAAACUGGGUCUAAUACCGAAUAGGACCACGCGCUUCAUGGUGUGUGGUGGAAAGCUUUUGCGGUGUGGGAUGGGCCCGCGGCCUAUCAGCUUGUUGGUGGGGUAAUGGCCUACCAAGGCGACGACGGGUAGCCGGCCUGAGAGGGUGACCGGCCACACUGGGACUGAGAUACGGCCCAGACUCCUACGGGAGGCAGCAGUGGGGAAUAUUGCACAGUGGGCGCAAGCCUGAUGCAGCGACGCCGCGUGAGGGAUGACGGCCUUCGGGUUGUAAACCUCUUUCACCAGGGACGAAGCGUAAGUGACGGUACCUGGAGAAGAAGCACCGGCCAACUACGUG
RNAcentral lists this ribosomal RNA (462 nucleotides) under uncultured bacterium. RNAcentral describes it as "partial 16S ribosomal RNA". It matches the Rfam family "Bacterial small subunit ribosomal RNA", at positions 28 to 507 of the family's 1533-position model. The record is from RNAcentral.